Molecule: long non-coding RNA, 402 nt
Filed under: Mustela putorius furo (domestic ferret)
Lineage: Eukaryota; Metazoa; Chordata; Mammalia; Carnivora; Mustelidae
Description: lncRNA (ENSMPUG00000029131.1)
Source: RNAcentral
UGCAUUGUUACAAAAUUUGUGAAUCAGGAACCAACUUUUCCCUCUGUGUUUGGAAGUUUACAUUUCUGAAGCAUUUCUGUACUAUUUCAAAGUUUCUUGUGCAUGUAAGAUUCUGGUCUUAGAAAUACUUGUGCUGACAAGCUCUUUUUUACCUCUCAGGAAGUAGCUAACUUACAACCAUCGCAUGAGAACAGGAGCACAAGCAGCACUUCCUGGCUUCAAGAAUUCAGGGAAAGGAGAGACCAGAGGCUGAAAGGCAUGUUUAUUCUAUUAUGUUCCAUUCCAAAUCAAGUUAGUAUCUGCGGUGGUGCUUGGGCUGAGUUGCCCACAAGGGAGCUGCAUUUUGAAGAUGGAAUUCGACUUCCACGUGUUGACCGUAUCUACACACGCAAACACAAGUAG